RNAcentral lists this ribosomal RNA (373 nucleotides) under uncultured organism. RNAcentral describes it as "partial 16S ribosomal RNA". It matches the Rfam family "Bacterial small subunit ribosomal RNA", at positions 527 to 896 of the family's 1533-position model. The record is from RNAcentral.
GUAGGUGGCAAGCGUUGUCCGGAAUUAUUGGGCGUAAAGCGCGCGCAGGCGGUUCUUUAAGUCUGAUGUGAAAGCCCACGGGCUCAACCGUGGGGGGUCAUUGGAAACUGGAGAACUUGAGUACAGAAGAGGAAAGCGGAAUUCCACGUGUAGCGGUGAAAUGCGUAGAGAUGUGGAGGAACACCAGUGGCGAAGGCGGCUUUCUGGUCUGUAACUGACGCUGAGGCGCGAAAGCGUGGGGAGCAAACAGGAUUAGAUACCCUGGUAGUCCACGCCGUAAACGAUGAGUGCUAAGUGUUAGGGGGUUUCCGCCCCUUAGUGCUGCAGCUAACGCAUUAGGCACUCCGCCUGGGGAGUACGGCCGCAAAGGCUG